This 1391-nucleotide ribosomal RNA is filed under the name Triticum aestivum (bread wheat). Its description in RNAcentral is "partial small subunit ribosomal RNA". The record is from RNAcentral. Lineage: Eukaryota; Viridiplantae; Streptophyta; Magnoliopsida; Poales; Poaceae.
UCCGUUCCUUCGCUCUCUCUCGGUCGUUUCACGUGUCGUUCCCAAUACACUAUCUCGACGUAAACGUGGACGUGGAUCUCUCCUCCUUCUUUCCAGCUUCCGACCCUUGAACCGCUACGUACGUUGCAAGAGGAACUGGGAGAGCGAGAAGGACAUCCACGUCACCGUAUACGUUGAGAUAGUGUCGUAGGAUCCCGGUGGAGGUACGUCCAUCUCUUGUACUGUUCUACGUAAUGUAACCAAAGAGUUACUUACCAUAUAGAAUUUAUAAAAACACUGUUGUUUGCCGAGUAGUCAAUUAUUCGUCGGAAUAAUAGGACGUGAGUCUACUAGCACGACAUCCUGAGACGACGAGUGAUCAAUCAUCAGUGAUUUGGUUUGUGAGUAGUGGAAGAGUCGUUGACGAGAGACUACAAGAGUUCGUUUACUCUGUUAGGGUACGGAUGAGUGACCGACGAAGCGAGUAUUUACACCGUUCCAUGCGGGUUUCAAGAGGGAAGUCAACUAGCGUAACGUUCAGCUACUAUCGAAGUUGUCGACCUAACUCUCGUGCCGGCUCUCACGGCCAGGACUGUUCUACUUCCCUCACACUAGAGGGUAGUAGGAGUGCAAUGUUCCCUAUACCUCUGACGUGGUGACGUCUUACUGACGCGAGAAACUUCUACGGUGCUGGGCACGACCAACUGAGUUAGGAAAGGUCCCGGUCGGAGACCUACGUCAAUCCCGCCCUCGAAGCUUUUCACCAUCUUCUUACUUCUACCCCAGUUGUUCACACGUUAUCAUUUGCGAUGGUAGACAUCCUUCCUUUCGUCCUAAGUUAUCGUUUUGGUCCAAACGACUCCGUUCCAUUGUUUGGUUGUUUGGUGUAUUCGACGGAUAUCCUUUGCUGUUAUUCAAUACCCGAAGUGGGGAUUCCUUUUAUUUAGUUCAAAACGUCUCGUUACCGUUUUGACGUACCGACCAAAUACGAAGGUGGUAUGGAAGUGUCUGUAUUAGAGGGUUCUUGGUUCUUGGUAUUGCGAGGAAUUUGGUUAACUUAAGUACUUCAACCGGUAGUCACUUGUCUAUGACACAAAGAAGAAGACAAACUGCUAUUCCUUCUCAGUUACGUUCGACAACCAAAUAGAAAUUUCCUACGAAGAUGUUGUCUUGAUGAGAUUUAACUGUUAUCUGGUUAGUGUUCGGUGUUCGUAGUAGUACAUAAAAAGAUACAGGAGUCGCUAGUCUUUGAAUAUGACUUCAUCAUCCGAACCCGUGGAUCAAAGCCUACCGCUUCAUUAUCUUAUAAGGGAACUGGUAACCGUGGUCUUCCCGGACGUUUCUUUGUGUUACACCAGACUCAUAUUUAUACCCAGAGGGUGGUAUUUAGCCUACGAUCUCCGCUAGUGGUC